CUUAUCCAGAGAGGUGGAGGGAUGGGCCCUAUGAAACCCGGCAACCAGCUUAUAGGCACGGUGCCAAUUCCUACAGAGAAUAUUCUGAAAGAUGAG
This 96-nucleotide non-coding RNA is filed under the name uncultured Garciella sp. RNAcentral describes it as "SAM riboswitch (S box leader)". It matches the Rfam family "SAM riboswitch aptamer (S box leader)". Rfam says of the family: The SAM riboswitch is found upstream of a number of genes which code for proteins involved in methionine or cysteine biosynthesis in Gram-positive bacteria. The record is from RNAcentral. Lineage: Bacteria; Bacillati; Bacillota; Clostridia; Eubacteriales; Eubacteriaceae.